RNAcentral lists this long non-coding RNA (223 nucleotides) under Gossypium raimondii (Peruvian cotton). RNAcentral's name for it is "long non-coding RNA (GRAI_LNC001334)". The record is from RNAcentral. Lineage: Eukaryota; Viridiplantae; Streptophyta; Magnoliopsida; Malvales; Malvaceae.
AAAAAAUCCUUCAAUCUUUAUCCAACUACUUAAAAAAAAUCUUCAACCCUUCAAUCUUUAUCCAAUCAUCUUUGAAUCUUCAAUCUUUUAAUCAAGCCCCCCUCUAUGCUUUUUGUUCCAAUUUAGCCCUUUUUUGCAAGAUUUUAAAUUCAGCACACCAACUUCACUCCUCAUAAGAAAAAUUCAAAUUUAAUAGCAUUUUAUUUGAUAAUUAGCCAAAAAU